GUUAUUUUAGUUUAAUAAAAACCUUACAUUUUCAGUGUAAAAAUAAAUGAAAAUUUAAAUAAUU
Molecule: transfer RNA, 64 nt
Filed under: Dicranocentrus wangi
Lineage: Eukaryota; Metazoa; Arthropoda; Collembola; Entomobryomorpha; Entomobryidae
Description: tRNA-Glu
Source: RNAcentral